ACACUGGACACUGCUGCAGGCAGACUCUUGGGCUGCCUUUGAAGAAGGCAAACUCACCAGUCCUUAACCACAAAGAUAUUCAAACCCAUGUCGAAGAAAUAAGCCUAAAAGCUCUCUCAGAGAAGAUACACUAUAGAAAGGGUGUGGCCAAGGACAAGGCCACCACUGUGGUGGCAUUGCUUCCACUUGGCUCACUGCAACAAAAGAUGCAUUCUGGAACAACCAGCAAGAACAUGGAACAGCAAGCUGUGUGUGGGAAUGUUCUUCCACUUGUCUAGUGUUUUCUGCAUGCAGAACUUUCUG
Non-coding RNA from Lonchura striata (white-rumped munia), 303 nucleotides. The record is from RefSeq and is a predicted model, not a curated record. Lineage: Eukaryota; Metazoa; Chordata; Aves; Passeriformes; Estrildidae.